RNAcentral lists this ribosomal RNA (515 nucleotides) under uncultured bacterium. Its description in RNAcentral is "partial 16S ribosomal RNA". It matches the Rfam family "Bacterial small subunit ribosomal RNA", at positions 28 to 523 of the family's 1533-position model. The record is from RNAcentral.
GAUGAACGCUGGCGGCGUGCCUAAUACAUGCAAGUCGAGCGAAUGGAUUAUGAGCUUGCUCUUAUGAAGUUAGCGGCGGACGGGUGAGUAACACGUGGGUAACCUGCCCAUAAGACUGGGGUAACUCCGGGAAACCGGGGCUAAUACCGGAUAACAUUUUGAACCGCAUGGUUCGAAAUUGAAAGGCGGCUUCGGCUGUCACUUAUGGAUGGACCCGCGUCGCAUUAGCUAGUUGGUGAGGUAACGGCUCACCAAGGCAACGAUGCGUAGCCGACCUGGGAGGGUGAUCGGCCACACUGGGACUGAGACACGGCCCAGACUCCUACGGGAGGCAGCAGUAGGGAAUCUUCCGCAAUGGACGAAAGUCUGACGGAGCAACGCCGCGUGAGUGAUGAAGGCUUUCGGGUCGUAAAACUCUGUUGUUAGGGAAGAACAAGUGCUAGUUGAAUAAGCUGGCACCUUGACGGUACCUAACCAGAAAGCCACGGCUAACUACGUGCCAGCCGCCGCGGUAA